UACCACCCUUUAAUGUUUGAUGUUCUAACGUGGACCCGUGAUCCGGGUUGCGGACAGUGUCUGGUGGGUAGUUUGACUGGGGCGGUCUCCUCCUAAAGAGUAACGGAGGAGCACGAAGGUUGGCUAAUCCUGGUCGGACAUCAGGAGGUUAGUGCAAUGGCAUAAGCCAGCUUGACUGCGAGCGUGACGGCGCGAGCAGGUGCGAAAGCAGGUCAUAGUGAUCCGGUGGUUCUGAAUGGAAGGGCCAUCGCUCAACGGAUAAAAGGUACUCCGGGGAUAACAGGCUGAUACCGCCCAAGAGUUCAUAUCGACGGCGGUGUUUGGCACCUCGAUGUCGGCUCAUCACAUCCUGGGGCUGAAGUAGGUCCCAAGGGUAUGGCUGUUCGCCAUUUAAAGUGGUACGCGAGCUGGGUUUAGAACGUCGUGAGACAGUUCGGUCCCUAUCUGCCGUGGGCGCUGGAGAACUGAGGGGGGCUGCUCCUAGUACGAGAGGACCGGAGUGGACGCAUCACUGGUGUUCGGGUUGUCAUGCCAAUGGCACUGCCCGGUAGCUAAAUGCGGAAGAGAUAAGUGCUGAAAGCAUCUAAGCACGAAACUUGCCCCGAGAUGAGUUCUCCCUGAGACUUAAAGUCUCCUGAAGGAACGUUGAAGACGACGACGUUGAUAGGCCGGGUGUGUAAGCGCAGCGAUGCGUUGAGCUAACCGGUACUAAUGAACCGUGAGGCUUAACCUUACAACGCCGAAG
This 745-nucleotide ribosomal RNA is filed under the name Salmonella enterica subsp. enterica serovar Eastbourne. RNAcentral's name for it is "partial 23S ribosomal RNA". It matches the Rfam family "Bacterial large subunit ribosomal RNA", at positions 2198 to 2925 of the family's 2925-position model. Lineage: Bacteria; Pseudomonadati; Pseudomonadota; Gammaproteobacteria; Enterobacterales; Enterobacteriaceae. The record is from RNAcentral.